This is a non-coding RNA of Podarcis lilfordi (Lilford's wall lizard), 77 nucleotides long. The record is from the annotation of a GenBank genome assembly. NCBI's taxonomy places the organism in Eukaryota, Metazoa, Chordata, Lepidosauria, Squamata, Lacertidae.
GCCAGGGAAUCCAUCGCUCAGUGGGUAGAGCAUUGCAUGCAGAAGAUCCUGGGUUCAAUUCCCAGCACCUCCAGGCA